AGGGAACGCUGGCGGUCUUCCUAACACAUGCAAGUCGAACGGCAGCACAGUAAGAGCUUGCUCUUACGGGUGGCGAGUGGCGGACGGGUGAGGAAUACAUCGGAAUCUACUUUUUCGUGGGGGAUAACGUAGGGAAACUUACGCUAAUACCGCAUACGACCUACGGGUGAAAGCAGGGGAUCUUCGGACCUUGCGCGAUUGAAUGAGCCGAUGUCGGAUUAGCUAGUUGGCGGGGUAAAGGCCCACCAAGGCGACGAUCCGUAGCUGGUCUGAGAGGAUGAUAAGCCACACUGGAACUGAGACACGGUCCAGACUCCUACGGGAGGCAGCAGUGGGGAAUAUUGGACAAUGGGCGCAAGCCUGAUCCAGCCAUACCGCGUGGGUGAAGAAGGCCUUCGGGUUGUAAAGAAAUUGGGUUGGGAAAGAAAAGCAGCAGGUUAAUACCCCGCUGUUCUGACGGUACCCAAAGAAUAAGCAAAGGCUAAAUUCGGG
RNAcentral lists this ribosomal RNA (492 nucleotides) under uncultured bacterium. Its description in RNAcentral is "partial 16S ribosomal RNA". It matches the Rfam family "Bacterial small subunit ribosomal RNA", at positions 31 to 507 of the family's 1533-position model. The record is from RNAcentral.